RNAcentral lists this ribosomal RNA (328 nucleotides) under uncultured bacterium. RNAcentral's name for it is "bacterial SSU rRNA". It matches the Rfam family "Bacterial small subunit ribosomal RNA", at positions 568 to 898 of the family's 1533-position model. The record is from RNAcentral.
CGUGUAGGCGGUGCGGUAAGUUGGGCGUGAAAUCCCCGAGCUUAACUCGGGUGGGCCGUUCAAGACUGCCGUGCUAGGGUGCGGGAGAGGGAAGUGGAAUUUCCGGUGUAGCGGCGAAAUGCGUAGAUAUCGGGAGGAACACCUGCGGCGAAGGCGGCUUCCUGGACCGUAACCGACGCUGAGGCGCGAAAGCUAGGGGAGCAAACAGGAUUAGAUACCCUGGUAGUCCUAGCCCUAAACGAUGAGCACUGGGUGUGGCCCCUCACGAGGCCGUGCCGAAGCUAACGCAUUAAGUGCUCCGCCUGGGGAGUACGGUCGCAAGGCUGAA